Molecule: transfer RNA, 70 nt
Filed under: Schistosoma mansoni
Lineage: Eukaryota; Metazoa; Platyhelminthes; Trematoda; Strigeidida; Schistosomatidae
Source: RNAcentral
CAUCAACUCUGAGAUACAGGUACAUCCAUCUGACGAGUCCCAAAUAUAACGAAACGCGCAUCCUGGAUUC